Small nuclear RNA from Oryctolagus cuniculus (rabbit), 169 nucleotides. Its record names the gene U2. It matches the Rfam family "U2 spliceosomal RNA". From Rfam's summary of the family: U2 is a small nuclear RNA (snRNA) component of the spliceosome (involved in pre-mRNA splicing). Complementary binding between U2 snRNA (in an area lying towards the 5' end but 3' to hairpin I) and the branchpoint sequence (BPS) of the intron results the bulging out of an unpaired adenosine, on the BPS, which initiates a nucleophilic attack at the intronic 5' splice site, thus starting the first of two transesterification reactions that mediate splicing. Lineage: Eukaryota; Metazoa; Chordata; Mammalia; Lagomorpha; Leporidae. The record is from Ensembl.
AUCACUUCUUGGCCUUUUGGCUAAGAUCAAGUGUAGUAUCUGUUUUUAUCAGUUUAAUAUAUCUUUUCUCUAAAAAUAUUUUAUUUAUUUUAUUUGAAAGGCAGAGAGAGAGAGAGAAUCAUUUGCGGGUUCACUCUCCAGAUAGCCGCAAUAACCAGGGCUACCCCAG